CCUGCUCAAGUGGCAUUUUAUGUGCU
RNAcentral lists this unclassified non-coding RNA (26 nucleotides) under Mus musculus (house mouse). RNAcentral describes it as "oocyte_clustered_small_RNA12728". Lineage: Eukaryota; Metazoa; Chordata; Mammalia; Rodentia; Muridae. The record is from RNAcentral.